This 253-nucleotide ribosomal RNA is filed under the name uncultured bacterium. RNAcentral's name for it is "partial 16S ribosomal RNA". It matches the Rfam family "Bacterial small subunit ribosomal RNA", at positions 524 to 776 of the family's 1533-position model. The record is from RNAcentral.
UACGGAGGGUGCAAGCGUUAAUCGGAAUUACUGGGCGUAAAGCGCGCUUAGGCGGCUGGAUAAGUCGAUUGUGAAAGCCCCGGGCUCAACCUGGGAAUUGCAGUCGAGACUGUUCGGCUAGAGUGUGGGAGAGGGUGGUGGAAUUCCCGGUGUAGCGGUGAAAUGCGUAGAUAUCGGGAGGAACAUCAGUGGCGAAGGCGACCACCGGGCCCAACACUGACGCUGAGGUGCGAAAGCGUGGGUAGCAAACAGG